RNAcentral lists this unclassified non-coding RNA (154 nucleotides) under uncultured Amanitaceae. RNAcentral's name for it is "sequence contains ITS2". Lineage: Eukaryota; Fungi; Basidiomycota; Agaricomycetes; Agaricales; Amanitaceae. The record is from RNAcentral.
AACUAUCAAAACACACCUUCCUUGGGAGUGUUUUGGACUUUGGGAGUGUUUUGCUGGUCUGCUUGAGCCCGGCUCUCCUCAAAAGCAUCAUCAGAUUUUGGAGACUGUCAGCGUGAUAACCUUGUCUGCGUUGACUCUCCAAUGACACAUGCCC